Molecule: ribosomal RNA, 253 nt
Filed under: uncultured bacterium
Lineage: Bacteria
Description: partial 16S ribosomal RNA
Rfam family: Bacterial small subunit ribosomal RNA
Source: RNAcentral
UACGAAGGGGGCGAGCGUUGUUCGGAUUUACUGGGCGUAAAGGGCGCGCAGGCGGCGAGUUUUGUCAGGCGUGAAAGCCCCGGGCUCAACCUGGGAAUUGCGCUUGAAACGGGCUUGCUAGAGAUCGGGAGAGGAGAGUGGAAUUCCCAGUGUAGAGGUGAAAUGCGCAGAUAUCAGGAAGAACACCCGUGGCGAAGGCGGCUCUCUGGAACGCAACUGACGCUGAGACGCGAAAGCGUGGGGAGCAAACAGG